AUUUGAUGAUGUGGACAUUGAAUUUGUAACUCCCCAAAUCUUUCCCAAGCUUCGAAGAAUUCCUCCAUAUGGUUUUGUCUAAAAGUUUGGAUCUUGUUUCUUAACU
This 106-nucleotide small nucleolar RNA is filed under the name Thalictrum thalictroides. Its description in RNAcentral is "Plant small nucleolar RNA R71". It matches the Rfam family "Plant small nucleolar RNA R71". From Rfam's summary of the family: R71 is a member of the C/D box family of snoRNAs containing the C (UGAUGA) and D (CUGA) box motifs. Multiple nearly identical copies of this snoRNA have been identified in Arabidopsis, and it is thought to function as a 2'-O-ribose methylation guide for 18S ribosomal RNA. The record is from Rfam by way of RNAcentral. Lineage: Eukaryota; Viridiplantae; Streptophyta; Magnoliopsida; Ranunculales; Ranunculaceae.